RNAcentral lists this ribosomal RNA (468 nucleotides) under uncultured bacterium. Its description in RNAcentral is "partial 16S ribosomal RNA". It matches the Rfam family "Bacterial small subunit ribosomal RNA", at positions 28 to 507 of the family's 1533-position model. The record is from RNAcentral.
GACGAACGCUGGCGGCGUGCUUAACACAUGCAAGUCGAACGGAAAGUCCCUGCUUUUGUGGGGUGCUCUAGUGGCGAACGGGUGAGUAACACGUGAGUAACCUGUCCUUGACUUUGGGAUAACCUCAGGAAACUGGGGCUAAUCGCGGCAAGGAGCUACUGCUGCAUGGUGGGGGUUGGUUAGUUUCGGCGGUUGGGGAGGGACUAGCGGCCUAUCAGCUUGAUGGAGGGGUAGUGGGUUAGCAAGGCUUUGACCGGUAGCCUGCCUGAGCGGGUGACAUGCCAAGUUGGACUGGAAAUGCGGCCCGGCCUCCACCGGGAGGCAGCGGAGGGGUGGGUAGUACAGUGGGCGGAAGCCUAAUGCAGCAACGCCGCGUGGGGGAUGACAGGCUGGGGGUUGUAUUGCGCAUUCGCCUUUGACGAAACGUUAGUGACGGUACUGGGUAAAGAAGCACCGGCUAACUCCGUG